GACGAACGCUGGCGGCGUGCUUAACACAUGAAAGUCGAACGAAGUGGCGAACGGGUGAGUAAAGCGUAAUCUACCUGCCCUUCAGAGGGGGACAACAGUUGGAAACGACGGCUAAUACCGCAUACUGCAGGAGGGGAUUGCGUCUGAUGUGCUAGUUGGAGGGGGAACGGCCCACCAAGGCGAUGAUCAGUAGCCGGUCGUAGAGGAUGAACGGCCAACUUGGGACUGAGACACGGCCCAGACUCCUACGGGAGGCAGCAGUUGGGAAUCUUCCGCAAUGGACGAAAGUCUGACGGAGCAACGCCGCGUGAGUGAUGACGGCCUUCGGGUUGUAAAGCUCUGUUAAUCGGGACGCGGUACCGGAAUAGAAAGCCACGGCUAACUACGUGCCAGCAGCCGCGGUAAUUC
This 408-nucleotide ribosomal RNA is filed under the name uncultured bacterium. Its description in RNAcentral is "partial 16S ribosomal RNA". It matches the Rfam family "Bacterial small subunit ribosomal RNA", at positions 28 to 526 of the family's 1533-position model. The record is from RNAcentral.